This is a long non-coding RNA of Vigna unguiculata (cowpea), 404 nucleotides long. The record is from RefSeq and is a predicted model, not a curated record. Lineage: Eukaryota; Viridiplantae; Streptophyta; Magnoliopsida; Fabales; Fabaceae.
CUUCCUUCUCAGAACAACAGCUUCCUCUGCUCUCUUGUCCUCUGCUAGGGCACGUAAUCAACUCCCAUUUCCAAGCUAGCCUAAGCCAUUCGGUACUCUAGCUCACUUCCUUGGUUCUGGAGCUGCCAUUUUCGGGGAUUGCGGAUCUGUUGUUUUUGGUGCUCAAUCGAAGAUGGGAGGAAUGUUCGAGAUGGAUCUGGGGACAGCAGCGGUGCGGUUUAGAUUUUAUUACUUGAAGACCUUAGGAUCAGUUUCAUGGCCAUGAGGCCUUUUGUAAUGGCUGCCCAGUGGCGACUCCUUUUGCAAAACUGUUGGAUUAUGUUAGUUUUCUUUUAUUUGUGGCAUGGUUGUAUGCCCAGGUUUUCCUCUAACUACUCCUAUGGAUGACUGUACUAGUUGCUUUU